This 2379-nucleotide long non-coding RNA is filed under the name Homo sapiens (human). Its description in RNAcentral is "non-protein coding lnc-IL17RA-23:1". Lineage: Eukaryota; Metazoa; Chordata; Mammalia; Primates; Hominidae. The record is from RNAcentral.
AGAGAAUGUAAAGUGAUUUUUUAAAUCCAUAAUUUAAAAAGUACUAGGGUUGCAAGAAGGAUAAUUCCAAUGUUAUUUAAAGUAUCCCAAAUUUUUUUAAAAAAGAAAAACCAAUUCAUUUCACAUAGGUAGUGCAGCAUUAAUAUGAAAACCUUAUAAACAUAAGACAAUGUAUACUGUUGGCAGGAAUGUAAAUUAGUACAGCCAUUAUGAAAAAUAAUAUAGAGGUUUCUCAGAAAGUUAAAAAUAAAACUACCAUAUGAUCCAGCAAUCCUAGUACUAUUUAUAUACCCAAAUAAAAUGAUUCAAUAUGUCAAAGAAAAAUCUGUACCUCAUGUUCAUUGCAACAUUAUUCACAAUAGACAAGAUACGAAAUCAACCUAAGUAUCCUUUAACAGAUGAAUGAUUAAAGAAAAUGUGGUGUAUAUAUACCUAAUGAAAUAUUGUUCAGCCUUAAAGAAGGAAAUCCUGUCCUUUGUAAUAACAUGAAUGAAACUGGAGGACAUUAUAUUAAGUGAAAUAAGCCAGGCACAGAGAGAUAAAUGCCAUGUAAUCUCACUUAUAUGUGGAAUCUAAAAAAGUCAAACACAUAGAAGCAGAAAAUAGAAUAAUGGUUAUUAGGGGCAGGGGGAGGAGGGUAGAACUGGGGAGAUGUUGGUCAAAGGAUACAAAAAUUAAGAUAAGCAGGAAGAACAAGUUCAAGAGACCUAUUGUACAACAUGGUGACUACAGUUAAUAACAAUGUAUUGCAUACUUGAAAAUUGCUAGGACAGUAGAUUUUAAGUGUUCUCACCACAAAAGAAAUGAUAAAUAUGUGAGGUAACACAUGUAUUAAUUAGCUUGAGUUAGCCAUUUCACAGUGUAUCCAUAUUUCAAAACAUCAGGUUGUACACUACAAAUAUAUACAAUUUUUGUUUGUAUAUUUAAAAUUUUUUAAUAUUUAAAAAUUCAACUCAAAAAUAAAUUCUUGGCCAGGCACAGUGGCUCACACCUGUAAUCUCAGCACUUUGGGAGGCCAAGGCAGUGGAUCAUGAGGUCAGGAGAUCGAGACCAUUCUGGCUAACAUGGUGAAACCCCGUCUCUACUAAAAAAAUACAAAAAAAAAUUAGCCGGGCGUGGUGGCGGGCGCCUGUAGUCCCACCUACUCAGGAGGCUGAGGCAGGAGAAUGGCGUGAACCCAGGAGGCAGAGCUUAUAGUGAGCCGAGAUCACGCCACUGUACUCCAGCCUGGUGACAGAGCAAGACUCUGUCUCAAAAAAUAAAAAAAAUUUAAAAAAAAAUUUCAGUUGGCAGAACUUUGCACUACGCACCUUGUCAUUCACUUUGCAUGGAAAGAGAAGAGACUCAAAGUAAGAAUGUACUGACUCAUGGUCAAAUGGCUUGGCUACAGGUCAGGGGGAUGGGAGGAGAAAAUUUGGAAGACUGGAGAAAAAGACAUCUGAGAAAAGGGCAUAUGGGUGGACUUAUGGGGAUGUACAAAAAGUAUGAAGAUCUUUGUUUCACAUGUUAACACCUACAAGAGGUAUCUAUCAACAACCAAGGAGAAAAGCGACUCAGCCAGAUGAUGUUAGCCAACCUCUUCCAUUGGCCAGCUCAGUACUGGUACUGGCACAAUUGGUGAAUAAAUAUAGUGACAAGGAUGGAGCCUAUGCAGAGGCCCAAACAGCAGAAGUCUCCACUGACUAAGUCUUAUCUAGCUACUGCUGCUUCUGAAUGUCAAAGUUGUCAUCAAGACAGAGCAACACUGAGGCCUCAAGAUAGCAUCAUCCCUCAAGGACACCAAGUAGCCACCUGGUGGCAAGCUGAAUGCACUGGAUUCUUUCCAUCACAGGAAGGGUAAUGAUUCAUCUUGGCUGGAACUGAUACUUAUUCUGAGUAUGGAUUUAUCUUUCCUACUUACAUGGCCUCAACCAGCACCACUAUCCAAGGGUUGACAGAAUGUUUAAUCCUCCAAUAUGGAAUCCUAUACAUCCUUGCAUUGUACUUUAUAGCACCGUAUAAAGGGAAUGUACUUUGUAGCACUGUAGUUGCAGUGGUGGACACAUGAAAAUGCAAUUCAGUGAUCCUAUUACAAAUCAUGAAAUCACAACAACUAAAAGCUGUCAAACUGAUGGAGUGAUGGAACAUCCUCCAGUAGCCCUUUGAAGCUGCAGGGAUGGGAUACAAGCAUAUAUCCUAGAUCAGUAACCAUUGUAUGGUCCCAUGUCGCUAAUAGAAGGAGGACCAUGGAUUGAAGAAAGAGUAGCACUAUUUACCGUCACCCCGAGGGAUUCACUUGGGAAAUUUCUGCUUCUUAUCUCUGCAAUUCAAUGCUGUUACACAACGGAAGUAGCCAGGAAUGUGUUUGGCAGCCAAGGGAUGUUUAAGUAGUACCUUACU